Cygnus olor (mute swan) is the source of this 1750-nucleotide long non-coding RNA. RefSeq lists it as uncharacterized. The transcript is spliced from 3 exons. The record is from RefSeq and is a predicted model, not a curated record. NCBI's taxonomy places the organism in Eukaryota, Metazoa, Chordata, Aves, Anseriformes, Anatidae.
UGCUCAGCUGUGAAAAAAAAAAAAUAAAUGGUGGUUUUCUUCUACAGCAGAUCACGGUCUAAAAGCUCCUUCCUCCCUUUCCUAUGCCUUCAGCAGCAUGUGUUCCCCACCCUGCCCUGCGGCUAUCACGAUGCAGCAUACGAGCGUUUGAUUUCUUCGUUAGCACUGCUGCCAUGUACCCGGUUAUUACCUGCAGAUGUGUGUGUGCAAGCAAGGGCUCUGCUGGGAUGCAGCAGAGGAGCACUGUCUAAACAGCGAGGUUUCCUGGAAGGAGGCAGCACACACUGCGAAUUGGGUCUGUUCCCAGAGCAUCUUAACUUGCAAGUGAUUAGCUGUUAAUUAUUAUGCUAUAAAUUACUUAAUAAAUGAGUAUUCUUCACAGCACCUAUUGUACCCCACGACAUCUGCUCAGCUGUGUGAAAUACACAUAAUUACUGGCACAGAGAUGUAAUUAUAGCUCUUCCUCCACAUUCUUGCACAGCUACCAGCCAUGUCGUGGGUGCUGGGUCCUGCAGGAUGCAUGGGUGGUGUGCAGGCAGUGCCACCUUGUCCCCAUAUCCAGAAGUCCUCCCAGGUGCUUUGGAGUGACUCCACCACAAAGAACCUUCUUCUUACUAAUACAAUCCUACCAAAAUGGCUUUAAGAGCAUCCUAAGGACCUUGUCGCACUCUCCUCCUUUCCCUGCUGUGAGGGGCAAUGGUACUGCAGCACAGUUUGCAGUAUCACGACCUCUUUGCACUCCGGAGGCAACACCUGUUUGGAUCAUGGGAAAGACCUGACACGGUUCCAAAGGAGAAUGAAGGCGCCUGAGAUAGAGGGUUUAGAUGACUUGGGAAGCCUCAGCAGUGAAUUAAAGCCCAAUCCACUGAAACUGUGAGUGCUUGCUCUCCUGCUACAGCUUCUUCAUACAUUGCAAAGGAUCAGGAAGCUAUCAACGAGGAUAAUGAGCACUAGAUAUUACAACAGGGAUUUCUUACAUUGCUAGCAAGAGAAAAAGCUGUACUGCCCCUCUGCUGGCAGAAAACAGAAUAGAAGAUAUUUCCAGCAAUUAUUUUUCUUCCAAAAGGGUCCAGGCAACAGCAUCCAUGUAAGUGCACGUUGCUGACAGUGAGGCCGAUGCUUCUGGUUUUGUUAGAGCAAACAAGACCCUGAGAAUGGUCCUGAACACAGCUCUGAAAGGCACUGCUCACGUCUAACACACCAAAACCAUGCAGAACUGAUAGCAGGACAAACUCGGUGUUUGGCAGCCUACCUCUGUUAAACGGGUGCUAAAUAACAGUGCCAUCACUGCACAGCUGCUUGCAUGCCAGCGUGGGCACCCACGCUGAGGCACCGAACCAGCUGCACGUGCUUGUUCUUCAGAUGAACAGCACUGGGUUUUCUGCAGGGCCGAGCCACGUGUGCCUGGAAAAGUGCCUCAUUCUCCUAUUGGUGUAAAAAUUAGGGAAACGGUGUAUUCUGGAUACCUUUCACGUGGGAUGGUGAUCUGGUGGUAUAAAAUGGGAAACGCUGCAUCAUGCAGGGCAUGCGGCAAGCCGAGCCAGCUUGAAAGUCUUUGGGCAUUCAGGGGAGAAGGGUUCACCAGCCUUCAGACCCACACUGGCACUCGCUCACUACCUGAUUCCAGAAGUGCUAACAAAGCAGUAAAGUGGCUCAAAGCACUAUGCAAUUUUUCUAAACUUCUUUAUUCUCUAAGCGUGAAGAAGCAGAAAUUAUUUGUUGUUUAAUCAUUUGUUCAGCAGGGCAAUAG